RNAcentral lists this unclassified non-coding RNA (402 nucleotides) under Hevea brasiliensis (rubber tree). The record is from RNAcentral. Lineage: Eukaryota; Viridiplantae; Streptophyta; Magnoliopsida; Malpighiales; Euphorbiaceae.
GAAAUUUGAAGUCAAUAACACUUCAACAGAAAGCAGUCUUAAAAACCAGAGAAAUCAAGAUAUGUGAUCCAAUUAUGAUGUUAUACCCAUUAGGGAUUCUGCUUAAUUUGCAUUACCAUUUUCCUUGUCAUUUCAUUUUAAAUUCUUGUAAGUUUUUGAAGUUGGGGGAAUUAUCUAGGAACCAUUCCCUUUGAGAACUGGGGGAAAAUUUUAACUCGAGGUGUGAGAUUUGGAUGAUAAACAGAACUUGCUUCUAAGGUAAAAUAAGUAAUAGGCAUAGAAACUAUACAUUAUAUUGACAUAAUAAUUAUCAUUGUGCUUGCACUUAAAGCUGCAAAAAAAUAAUAAUAUUCUAAACAUCGUGCCAGUGAAUUGAAUUGGAAAAUUGUGUGUUUAAACUCA